AUGCUGUUUACCUCAUUUUCAAAUGCUUCAUCCUCCACUGCUGCUACUGGGAUCUCAUCUACAACAUCAACUACCACUACCACCACUGUCACCACCACUACCACCACUACCAUCACCAGUGGAUUUACCUUGAACAUAAAACCACUGACAUCAACUGGGAUUGAUAACACUGUACCUUUUACUUCGACUGUUAAUGCAAUCAUAACUCCUGUGAUGACAUAUGGUCAGCUGGAUGGUCUGGUAAACAAAUGGAGCCUUGAGUUAGAGGAUCAAGAGAAACACUUUCUUCACCAGGCCACCCAGGUCAAUGUUUGGGACAAUACUUUGAUUGAGAAUGGUGAGAAGAUUACUGCUUUGCAUGGAGAAGUAGAAAAAGUGAAACUGGAUCAGAAAAGGCUGGAAAAAGAAUUGGAUUUUAUCCUGUCACAGCAGAAGGAAUUGGAAGAUCUCUUGAUCCCUUUGGAGGAGUCUGUUAAGGACCAGAAUGGGUCUGUGUAUCUGCAGCACACAGAUGAGCGUGAGAGCACCUCCAGCAGAUCUGCAAAAUUCUGA
RNAcentral lists this long non-coding RNA (552 nucleotides) under Sus scrofa (pig). RNAcentral describes it as "lncRNA (ENSSSCG00015032444.1, ENSSSCG00035075957.1, ENSSSCG00040019876.1, ENSSSCG00055006100.1)". Lineage: Eukaryota; Metazoa; Chordata; Mammalia; Artiodactyla; Suidae. The record is from RNAcentral.